GAUGAACGCUGGCGGCGUGCCUAAUACAUGCAAGUCGAGCGAACAGACGAGGAGCUUGCUCCUCUGACGUUAGCGGCGGACGGGUGAGUAACACGUGGAUAACCUACCUAUAAGACUGGGAUAACUUCGGGAAACCGGAGCUAAUACCGGAUAAUAUAUUGAACCGCAUGGUUCAAUAGUGAAAGACGGUUUUGCUGUCACUUAUAGAUGGAUCCGCGCCGCAUUAGCUAGUUGGUAAGGUAACGGCUUACCAAGGCAACGAUGCGUAGCCGACCUGAGAGGGUGAUCGGCCACACUGGAACUGAGACACGGUCCAGACUCCUACGGGAGGCAGCAGUAGGGAAUCUUCCGCAAUGGGCGAAAGCCUGACGGAGCAACGCCGCGUGAGUGAUGAAGGUCUUCGGAUCGUAAAACUCUGUUAUUAGGGAAGAACAAAUGUGUAAGUAACUAUGCACGUCUUGACGGUACCUAAUCAGAAAGCCACGGCUAACUACGUG
This 497-nucleotide ribosomal RNA is filed under the name uncultured bacterium. RNAcentral's name for it is "bacterial SSU rRNA". It matches the Rfam family "Bacterial small subunit ribosomal RNA", at positions 28 to 507 of the family's 1533-position model. The record is from RNAcentral.